GACGAACGCUGGCGGCGUGCUUAACACAUGCAAGUCGAACGGAAAGGCCCUGCUUUUGUGGGGUGCUCGAGUGGCGAACGGGUGAGUAACACGUGAGUAACCUGCCCUUGACUUUGGGAUAACUUCAGGAAACUGGGGCUAAUACCGGAUAGGAGCUCCUGCUGCAUGGUGGGGGUUGGAAAGUUUCGGCGGUUGGGGAUGGACUCGCGGCUUAUCAGCUUGUUGGUGGGGUAGCGGCUUACCAAGGCUUUGACGGGUAGCCGGCCUGAGAGGGUGACCGGCCACAUUGGGCCUGAGAUACGGCCCAGACUCCUACGGGAGGCAGCAGUGGGGAAUAUUGCACAAUGGGCGGAAGCCUGAUGCAGCAACGCCGCGUGCGGGAUGACGGCCUUCGGGUUGUAAACCGCUUUCGCCUGUGACGAAGCGUGAGUGACGGUAAUGGGUAAAGAAGCACCGGCUAACUACGUG
RNAcentral lists this ribosomal RNA (468 nucleotides) under uncultured bacterium. RNAcentral describes it as "partial 16S ribosomal RNA". It matches the Rfam family "Bacterial small subunit ribosomal RNA", at positions 28 to 507 of the family's 1533-position model. The record is from RNAcentral.